CGUCCACCGGUGGAACAAUAUUGGCGAAAAGGUUUCGUCCACCGGUGGACGGAUUCUGGACAAACUUUAGCUAGAGAAAUCCGUCCACCGGUUGACGGAUUCUGGACAAAGUUUAGCGAGAGGAAUCCGUCCACCGGUGGACGGAUUGCCCGCCAAUCUUGGCGAGAAGAUGGACAAAGUUCUGCAAGAAGAAUCCGUCCACCGGUGGAACAAUAUUGAGGAAAAGGUUCCGUCCACCGGUGGACGGAUUUGUCGGACAAUUUUUUACAAAAAGAAAUCCGCGCCCCGGAGGAUGGAUUGCUUGCCAAAUUUGGCAAAAUGAUUAGGUCCAACGGUUGAUGUUUUUAAGAGCAAUGUUCCGGCCUCCGGUGGACGGAUUGUCUGCAAGAGUAGGCAAAAGAAUCGGUAUGGACAAUCUUUUGCAAAAGGAAUUCGUCCCCCGGAGAACGGAUUGCCUGCAAGAGUAGGCAAAAUAAUCGGUCCACAGGCGGACAAAAUUUUUUGCAAGUUCUGCAAGAGGAGUCGCUCCACCGGUGGACGGAUUGCCUGCCAAAGUUGGUAGGACGAACCGGACCAACUUUGGACAGUUUUGAAAAGGACAUUAUAAUAUUUUUUUUUUACUUUUUCCGGCAGAACCAUAGAACCAAGUGGCCAGUGUGGAAGCGGAAUGAAAGGGAUCCGGAAAUAUGGGCCAGCGGUUGCAAGACUUUAUCGGGAACCUAAUGUGGCGGUCCGUUUCGAGGACUAUCGGAUGCUGCGGGAAAUGAUCUGGUUGAGAAAGCGAUGUUCUCCAAGACAACCGGUUGACUCAUCACAAUACUACCAGCAGGGACCAGCGUACCAAAAUUCACCAGAGCUUUUGAACGAACCCGUUCAUGUCCCAACAGCAAGUCAUGGUUGUCAAGAAAAGAACACCAACAAUGACCAACAAGGGCCGGAAUGCUGCCGACGAGUUUUAAGUACCUUCGGCGUGUGGUGAAUCAGUCCGACUCGACGUUGUCCAUCAGACAACCAACUUAUGCGAAACGACGAAAUCCAGCAAGAACCGAGCUGCAGGCAAAUGUGGCACGAACGGCCAUCCUACUCGUUAGAAACGGGCUCUAUCAUUGUCACCGAUUUCGGCCGGCGGCAACGAUCAACUCCUCCACGGGCUUCCCGGCGGCCGGCGACCAACGACACGCUUAUGAGCAAGUUGCAGCUCUACGACGACGAGGAGGCCAGCACGUAGUCGCUGCACAAGUUUUCCGAGACGCCUGCCUGACCGGAUCGAUGAAAACACGAAGCUGGAGAAAAGUGAACAACGUCAUGGCCGCAGGAGCCCUGUGUAACUUUUGGUCCUGGAACGAAAUCCUUGACCUCGAUAUCGCUGCACCACCCAACGCGAAGCAGCCUGCCGGAACCAGGAGAGAUCGUGACCAUUUUCCCCAAGGAACCAACAUUGAAUACCAUGACAAACUUUCUUGCACGAAGCUUUAUUUUAUAAAAUAUGAUCCUGUCAUUAUAUUUUGUAAUUAUUAUCAAAUAAUUCAAUAAAAAUGCCGUUUAGUUGUUUAUCAAUUAUUCA
Long non-coding RNA from Culex pipiens pallens (northern house mosquito), 1564 nucleotides. RefSeq lists it as uncharacterized. NCBI's taxonomy places the organism in Eukaryota, Metazoa, Arthropoda, Insecta, Diptera, Culicidae. The transcript has 2 exons. The record is from RefSeq and is a predicted model, not a curated record.